Molecule: long non-coding RNA, 449 nt
Organism: Erinaceus europaeus (western European hedgehog)
Lineage: Eukaryota; Metazoa; Chordata; Mammalia; Eulipotyphla; Erinaceidae
Exons: 3
Source: RefSeq, a predicted model, not a curated record
GAGCACUGCAGUCUAUUAACCCCACGUACUUUAAUUUCAAAAACCCUCAUCUCCUCUCUAAGUCUGCUUGCAUCUCAUCAACGUGGUUAGAUGACAGCACAACGGAGAGAAUAGCAUUAAUGCCGUGUUAAAUAAAAGGGUCCUAAACUGCGAUCAGACAAGACUGAACCCUAGUUGUAUGUACCCAUGAGGACACGUCCUCAUCUUCCAGUGAUCCAAAAUGAACCAGCAACUGAUAAAAGCAAAAAGUUAAAUAUUUUGUUUUCAAAGACUUUACAAAAGCAAAGUGUUGCCAAUAAUUCCUCCUCAAUUUUCUUCUUUAGGAUCUGAGCACCCCACUCCAUUCCACUCCUGGAUAUUGCUGUAGGACAGCGGAUGAACAGAAACAAGCUGCUGAAAUUUAUGUCACCAGAUCCUGCGACGGAGAUCAGAUUUACGUACAAGCCCCC